RNAcentral lists this ribosomal RNA (468 nucleotides) under uncultured bacterium. RNAcentral describes it as "partial 16S ribosomal RNA". It matches the Rfam family "Bacterial small subunit ribosomal RNA", at positions 28 to 507 of the family's 1533-position model. The record is from RNAcentral.
GACGAACGCUGGCGGCGUGCUUAACACAUGCAAGUCGAACGGAAAGGCCCUGCUUUUGUGGGGCGCUCGAGUGGCGAACGGGUGAGUAACACGUGAGUAACCUGUCCUUGUCUUUGGGAUAUCUUCAGGAAACUGGGGCUCAUACCGGAUAUAAGCUCCUGAUCCGUGGUGGGGGUUGGAAAGUUUCGGCGGUUGGGGAUGGACUGGAGGCUUAUCAGCUUGUUGGUGGGGUAGUGGCUUACGAAGGUUUUGACGGGUAGCCGGCGUGAGAGGGUGAACAGCCACAAGGGGACUAAGGGACGGCCCAGACUGCUACGGGAGGCAGCAGGGGGGAAUAUUGCACAAUGGGCGGAAGCGUGAUGCAGCAACGCCGCGUGCGGGAAGACGUCCUUCGGGGUGUAAACCGCUUUCGCCUGUGACGAAGCGUGAGUGACGGUAAUGGGUAAAGAAGCACCGGCUAACUACGUG